AGUGAACGCUGGCGGUAGGCCUAACACAUGCAAGUCGAACGGCAGCACAGUAAGAGCUUGCUCUUACGGGUGGCGAGUGGCGGACGGGUGAGGAAUACAUCGGAAUCUACUUUUUCGUGGGGGAUAACGUAGGGAAACUUACGCUAAUACCGCAUACGACCUACGGGUGAAAGCAGGGGAUCUUCGGACCUUGCGCGAUUGAAUGAGCCGAUGUCGGAUUAGCUAGUUGGCGGGGUAAAGGCCCACCAAGGUGACGAUCCGUAGCUGGUCUGAGAGGAUGAUCAGCCACACUGGAACUGAGACACGGUCCAGACUCCUACGGGAGGCAGCAGUGGGGAAUAUUGGACAAUGGGCGCAAGCCUGAUCCAGCCAUACCGCGUGGGUGAAGAAGGCCUUCGGGUUGUAAAGCCCUUUUGUUGGGAAAGAAAAGCAGCAGGUUAAUACCCCGCUGUUCUGACGGUACCCAAGGAAUAAGCACCGGCUAACUUCGUG
This 492-nucleotide ribosomal RNA is filed under the name uncultured bacterium. Its description in RNAcentral is "partial 16S ribosomal RNA". It matches the Rfam family "Bacterial small subunit ribosomal RNA", at positions 29 to 507 of the family's 1533-position model. The record is from RNAcentral.